CUUUUAAAUGGCAGAGGUAGAAAAAAGCCUUAAAGAGGAAAGAAAAUCAAGUCAAGCAAAAAUUCUCGUGUUCGAUGCCAGAAUUCAUAAUUAUAUUUCAGCCUACAGAGUUCUAGAAUCCCUGCAUACCUAACUUCCUACCACAAAAGAAGUCAUUGUCAUUGACUGCUUCACUAAAAAUGUCAGGGCCACCUCUUAGCGUGCCCCUUCCAAAGUGUGAUUUGUGUUGGACACUUGUGAAGAGUAGAUCUAAGAAACUCCCUGCCUUCCUAAUGUGUCUCUAAAAUAUGCCAGUUUUGUGAAUGUGCCUCUAAUAUUGAGACUCUGAGCCAAAGAAAAAAGGCACUUCAUACUUACUGUCCAGUUUCAGCUCAUUCCCGAAGUACCCAUGGAAGAUGUUAGAGGAUAAACUACCAGAUAUGACCACUGAAUGUACAGAGAAAUAUCCAGGCUUUGGGCCCUGCUCUUUCCACUCUUGAUUUCCUCAAAGGAGCUCAUAGCUAUAAUUGCCUUGAUUUCAGAGGACACUUUGGAUUUCAACUUUUUAGCAGUGCUGGAAUAGCUGGAAUUCGUUUCUGCAGCUUGCAACCAAGAGUGUUCACUAAUAUACAAUGUGUCUUUACAUGAGCAUCCUGGGGCUGCCACUAGUAUAUGAACCAUCAAUAGUUUUACAAGUGUAAAGGAUCAGGAACCAGAAGUAACACAGUCUUUCAGGCACCAGAUGAGUAGGCGAUGCCAGGAGAAAAAAGGUGGGAAGAGACUUUGAGAAGACUUAGAGGAAGGAGAAAGUCCACAGCAUUUGUUAAGGGAACCUGGCCCUAUGUUUUCCUGGGAAUUUCUACUGGAGUACUACUUCUGGCUUCUUGUACCAUUGUUUGUCUUACUCAAGAGUUAGUUGACCAGUGAACUUAGUUAUAUUCAUUAGCUCAAAGUUCUUGACUGAGUCGAGCUAAUCUAGCAAAAAAUCCCUAAUUACUGUGAUUCAUUCUCUUUUUUCCGUUUCUGACCUAGACUUGGGUAGACAUACUUGGGUAAACGUGUUUGCUCUGUAGGCCAGUGUUCCCCUUUUGGUGGCCUAUUCUCAGGGUAGAUUCUUUAGGGGUUGAGAGUGAGCAGAAUGUUGCCAACCCCUUUGGGUUAUAUAGAUCAAGAACCCUUUAUUAGCCUAUCUGUAAUAAAGUUGAC
Molecule: long non-coding RNA, 1185 nt
Organism: Heterocephalus glaber (naked mole-rat)
Lineage: Eukaryota; Metazoa; Chordata; Mammalia; Rodentia; Bathyergidae
Source: Ensembl